UGAUCCAGCAAUGCCGCGUGAGUGAUGAAGGCCUUAGGGUUGUAAAGCUCUUUUACCCGGGAUGAUAAUGACAGUACCGGGAGAAUAAGCUCCGGCUAACUCCGUGCCAGCAGCCGCGGUAAUACGGAGGGAGCUAGCGUUAUUCGGAAUUACUGGGCGUGAAGCGCACGUAGGCGGCUUUGUAAGUUAGAGGUGAAAGCCUGGAGCUCAACUCCAGAAUUGCCUUUAAGACUGCAUCGCUUGAAUCCAGGAGAGGUGAGUGGAAUUCCGAGUGUAGAGGUGAAAUUCGUAGAUAUUCGGAAGAACACCAGUGGCGAAGGCGGCUCACUGGACUGGUAUUGACGCUGAGGUGCGAAAGCGUGGGGGGCAAACAGGAUUAGAUACCCUGGUAGUCCACGCCGUAAACGAUGAUAACUAGCUGUCGGGGCUCUUAGAGCUUCGGUGGCGCAGCUAACGCAUUAAGUUAUCCGCCUGGAGAGUACGGCCGCAAGGUUA
Molecule: ribosomal RNA, 495 nt
Filed under: uncultured Pseudomonadota bacterium
Lineage: Bacteria; Pseudomonadati; Pseudomonadota
Description: bacterial SSU rRNA
Rfam family: Bacterial small subunit ribosomal RNA
Source: RNAcentral